This is a long non-coding RNA of Epinephelus lanceolatus (giant grouper), 333 nucleotides long. RefSeq lists it as uncharacterized. The record is from RefSeq and is a predicted model, not a curated record. Lineage: Eukaryota; Metazoa; Chordata; Actinopteri; Perciformes; Serranidae.
GUUGGAACGAUGCAUUCAAGGACCAGCGGAGACCCAGAACAUCAACGUGAGAACAACUUGCUCCCCAAUUACAGCAACGUAAACUGAGGAGGCUCAAUCCUCCUUCGUCUUGAGGACGAUGCAACACGCCACUUCCUCUCUGAAGAAAAUGUGGAAAACACAGAGAGGAGAGGGAGGAGGUGGAGGAGGAAGAGGAGGAGGGGGAAGAGGAGGAGGAGAGGUCCGCUGCUGCAGGGUGAAGAGGUUCAGCUGGCUCAUUUGUAAAACAAACAUGGCUGCAGAAACUUCAAAGCUCAGCGGGACAUCUCAGAUAAAGACAUCAAACAGGGAAAG